RNAcentral lists this ribosomal RNA (253 nucleotides) under uncultured bacterium. RNAcentral's name for it is "partial 16S ribosomal RNA". It matches the Rfam family "Bacterial small subunit ribosomal RNA", at positions 524 to 776 of the family's 1533-position model. The record is from RNAcentral.
UACGAGGGGGGCAAGCGUUGUUCGGAAUUAUUGGGCGUAAAGGGUGCGUAGGCGGCGCGGUAUGUCUCUUGUGAAAUCUCCAGGCUCAACUUGGAGUCUGCAAGGGAAACUGCCGUGCUUGAGUACUGGAGAGGUGAGUGGAAUUCCCGGUGUAGCGGUGAAAUGCGUGGAUAUCGGGAGGAACACCUGUGGCGAAAGCGGCUCACUGGACAGUAACUGACGCUGAUGCACGAAAGCUAGGGGAGCAAACAGG